GGAGGACGGGACAUUUCGGAAGCCAGAGCCGUCGUUUGCGGAGCUGGAGAAGAGACUCGGCGAUUUCUUUCUGAAAAGUGCCAUGCUGCAGGAGGUGCUGCUGGGAUUCAAAGAGACGCUGCGACGGGAGCUGGGGAGCAACACAGGCUGCAGAAUAACAUCCCCGGGUCCCUCCAGAUUCUCCCAGCCUGCCCAGGAAAGGGAAAUGGAGGCAGCAGACCUGGUUCAGGGGCCGGUGACCUUCGAGGAGGUGGCUGUGUAUUUCAC
Chelonoidis abingdonii (Abingdon island giant tortoise) is the source of this 267-nucleotide non-coding RNA. The record is from RefSeq and is a predicted model, not a curated record. NCBI's taxonomy places the organism in Eukaryota, Metazoa, Chordata, Testudines, Testudinidae.